This 484-nucleotide ribosomal RNA is filed under the name uncultured bacterium. Its description in RNAcentral is "partial 16S ribosomal RNA". It matches the Rfam family "Bacterial small subunit ribosomal RNA", at positions 30 to 507 of the family's 1533-position model. The record is from RNAcentral.
AUUGAACGCUGGCGGCAGGCCUAACACAUGCAAGUCGAGCGGAUGAAGGGAGCUUUCUCCUGUAUUCAGCGGCGGACGGGUGAGUAAUGCCUAGGAAUCUGCCUGGUAGUGUGGGAUAACGUCCGGAAACGGGCGCUAAUACCGCAUACGUCCUUAGUGUGAAAGUGGGGGUUCUUCGGACCUCACGCUAUCAGAUGUGCCUAGGUCGGAUUAGCUAGUUGGUGUGGUAAAGGCCUACCAAGGCGACGAUCCGUAACUGGUCUGAGAGGAUGAUCAGUCACACUGGAACUGAGACACGGUCCAGACUCCUACGGGAGGCAGCAGUGGGGAAUAUUGGACAAAGGGCGAAAGCCUGAUCCAGCAAUGCCGCGUGUGUGAAGAAGGUCUUCGGAUUGUAAAGCACUUUAAGUUGGGAGGAAGGGAAGUAAGUUAAUACCUUGCUGUUUUGACGUUACCAAAAGAAUAAGCACCGGCUAACUUCGUG